GACGAACCGUGCGAACGUUGUUCGGAAUCACUGGGCUUAAAGGGCGCGUAGGCGGGUGGCCAAGUCGGUGGUGAAAUCCUCCAGCUUAACUGGAGAACUGCCUUCGAUACUGGUCGUCUGGAGGGGGGUAGGGGCAGACGGAACUUCCGGUGGAGCGGUGAAAUGCGUAGAUAUCGGAAGGAACGCCGGCGGCGAAAGCGGUCUGCUGGACCUCCACUGACGCUGAGGCGCGAAAGCCAGGGGAGCAAACGGG
This 253-nucleotide ribosomal RNA is filed under the name uncultured bacterium. RNAcentral's name for it is "partial 16S ribosomal RNA". It matches the Rfam family "Bacterial small subunit ribosomal RNA", at positions 524 to 776 of the family's 1533-position model. The record is from RNAcentral.